UAAGUUUCUCUCUUUGAAGAAAAGAAAAAGAACAAACAAAAAGAAGAGAAAGGGUGAGUUUCCCGCCCAAUUUUGUAGACACACUUCCAUUAAUAUAUGAAGAAACAAAAAAAAGACCAAAACCAUCACAACUCAAAAACUAUCAAACGUUUAGCAGAGCCCACAAGUAGAUAAUGAUUUGUACAAACAUAGGCACAGCUUGUUACACACCAAGAGGCCGCAACUUCUUCCUAGACCUCUUGAACAAGGCCACAACUCUCUCCCAACUCUACCAAACCCACGCCCAAAUCAUCCUCCAUGGCCUUCACCACGACCUCUCCACCCUCACAAAACUCACUCACAAACUCUCUGACUUCAAAGCCAUUCACCAUGCACGUGUACUCUUCCUCUCCACCCCAAAACCCGACCUUUUCCUCUUCAAUGUCCUCAUCAAAGGGUUCUCCACCAAUCACUCACCUUCCUCUGCUGUUUCACUAUACACCCAUUUGAGAACAAGGACUAAUCUUAAGCCUGAUAACUUUACUUACGCAUUUGCUAUAUCGGCAGCCUCGGGUUUUGAGUCGGAAAAGUUUGGUCUUUUGUUGCACGCUAAUGCGGUUGUUGAUGGGUUUGGAUUCAGUUUGUUUGUUGGGUCCGCGGUGGUUGAUUUAUACUUCAAGUUUUCACGUAUUGAGAUGGCGAGGAAGGUGUUUGAUUUAAUGCCUGAGAGAGACACGGUUUUGUGGAAUACUAUGGUUUCCGGGUUGGUGAGGAACUGUUGUUUUGGUGAUUCUAUAGAGGUUUUUCAGGAUAUGGUUAAAGGUGGGGUGAAGUUUGAUUCUACAACUUUGGCAACUGUGCUUCCGGCUGCAGCAGAGUUGCAGGAUUUGGGAGUGGGAAUGGGGAUUCAGUGCUUGGCUUUGAAACUUGGAUAUGAUUGUGAUGAGUAUGUAACAACGGGUUUGGUUUCUUUGUAUUCAAAAUGUGGGGAGAUUAACACGGCAAGAUGGUUGUUUAGGCAGAUUGAUUGGCCGGAUUUGAUAGCUUGUAAUGCAAUGAUUUCUGGGUAUACUUGCAAUGGUGAGACUGAGUCUUCAGUGAGGCUAUUUGGUGAACUGCUUGCUUCUGGGCAGAAAGUCAAUUCAAGCACAUUGGUAGGGUUGAUUCCUGUCUUUUCGCCAUUCGGGCAUCUGCAGCUCUCUUGCUGUAUUCAUGGUUUCUGUGUGAAAUGUGGUGGUGUUUCACAUGCUUCUGUUUCAACUGCAUUAACUACAGUUUAUAGUAGACUAAAUGAAAUUGAAUCAGCACGGCUGCUUUUUGAUGAAACUCCAGAGAAAAGUUUGGCAUCUUGGAAUGCUAUGAUAUCUGGUUAUACUCAAAAUGGGUUUACAGAGAUGGCAAUUUCUCUUUUCCGGGAAAUGAUGUUUGAAGUCCAUCCAAAUCCUGUCACAAUUACAAGUAUUCUUUCGGCUUGUGCCCAGCUUGGGGCUUUAAGUCUUGGAAAAUGGGUUCAUGGCUUGAUUAAGAGUGAGAAUCUUGAGUCUAAUAUAUAUGUCUCAACUGCUCUAAUUGACAUGUAUGCAAAGUGUGGGAGUAUUGUGGAGGCUCGGCAAUUAUUUGACUUGAUGACGGAUAAAAAUGUAGUCACUUGGAAUGCCAUGAUUUCGGCUUAUGGCCUCCAUGGACAUGGGAAUGAAGCACUAAAGCUUUUUAAUGAGAUGUUGCAUUCUGGGCUUCCGCCAUCCAACGUUACUUUUCUUUCUGUCUUGUAUGCUUGUAGUCAUGCUGGUUUGGUGAGGAAAGGAAAUGAAAUUUUCCAUUCUAUGGUCCAUGAUUAUGGGUUUCAGCCAUUACCUGAGCAUUAUGCCUGCAUGGUUGACAUCCUUGGCCGAGCAGGAAAACUAAAUGAGGCCUUGAAAUUUAUAGAGAAAAUGCCAGGUGAGCCAGGUCCUGCUGUAUGGGGUGCAUUACUUGGUGCUUGCAUGAUUCACAAAGACACAAACCUGGCCCGUGUGGCUUCUGAAAGGCUAUUUGAACUGGACCCAGAAAAUGUUGGAUACCAUGUCUUACUCUCAAAUAUUUACUCAGCUGAUAGGAAUUUUCUUAAGGCUGCUUCAGUACGACAAGUUGUCAAGAAAAGAAAGCUGUCAAAGACUCCUGGGUGCACUCUAAUUGAGGUUGGUGAGACGCCACAUGUCUUUACAUCUGGUGAUUGGUCCCAUCCUCAAGCAACAGCAAUCUACAAAAUGCUAGAGAAGUUGACUGGAAAGAUGAGGGAGGCUGGAUUUCAAUCAGAGACUGUCAUUGCUUUGCAUGACGUAGAGGAGGAAGAGAAGGAGUUAGCGGUCAAGGUUCACAGUGAGAAGUUGGCCAUUUGUUUUGGCCUCAUUGCUACUGAACCUGGAACUGAAAUCCGAAUCAUUAAGAAUCUCAGGGUUUGUUUAGAUUGCCAUAAUGCAACUAAAUUUAUAUCCAAGAUUACGGAGAGAGUUAUUGUGGUUAGAGAUGCUAAUAGAUUUCAUCAUUUUAAGGAUGGUGUCUGUUCUUGUGGAGACUAUUGGUGAAUUUUUUGUUUUCUACACCAGCCAAGAUUUAGAACAAGAGUCAUCAGAAAUCAUUGGGCAGAUGAUGAUAUCCUUUUUGGACAUUUUUGUUGAUAAUAGUGAAGGAGGUUAGCAUUGCAUCUGAGGGCAAUGAAGAUGGAACAGUUUGUUCUUUGGGAAGCAAAGAAAGCAAAUUAUAGGAGGUGCAUAAACUGUGUAUUGAUGUGCAAAUGUUUCAG
RNA transcript from Quercus robur (English oak), 2761 nucleotides. It is a transcript of the gene named pentatricopeptide repeat-containing protein At4g30700, with no coding region annotated. Lineage: Eukaryota; Viridiplantae; Streptophyta; Magnoliopsida; Fagales; Fagaceae. The record is from RefSeq and is a predicted model, not a curated record. The transcript has 3 exons.